GUUGGGGAGGCCGAGUGGUUAAGUCGUUGGAAUAGAAAUCCAAUGGGAUCUUCCCGCGCAGGCCGGAACCUGCCCGCAACG
Nematostella vectensis (starlet sea anemone) is the source of this 81-nucleotide non-coding RNA. NCBI's taxonomy places the organism in Eukaryota, Metazoa, Cnidaria, Anthozoa, Actiniaria, Edwardsiidae. The record is from Rfam.